Molecule: ribosomal RNA, 1358 nt
Filed under: uncultured bacterium
Lineage: Bacteria
Description: bacterial SSU rRNA
Rfam family: Bacterial small subunit ribosomal RNA
Source: RNAcentral
GAUGAACGCUAGCGACAGGCCUAACACAUGCAAGUCGAGGGGCAUCACGAAUUAGCAAUAAUUUGGUGGCGACCGGCGCACGGGUGAGUAACGCGUAUGCAACCUGCCUUCUACACUGGGAUAACUCGUUGAAAGACGGACUAAUACCGGAUAAUACAGGGGCUUCACAUGAAGAUAUUUGUUAAAGAUUUAUCGGUAGAAGAUGGGCAUGCGUAUGAUUAGUUUGUUGGUAAGGUAACGGCUUACCAAGACUUCGAUCAUUAGGGGUUCUGAGAGGAAGGUCCCCCACACUGGUACUGAGACACGGACCAGACUCCUACGGGAGGCAGCAGUGAGGAAUAUUGGUCAAUGGGCGAGAGCCUGAACCAGCCAAGUCGCGUGAAGGAUGACUGCCCUAUGGGUUGUAAACUUCUUUUGUAAGGGAAUAAAGUUCACCACGUGUGGUGUUUUGCAUGUACCUUACGAAUAAGGAUCGGCUAACUCCGUGCCAGCAGCCGCGGUAAUACGGAGGAUCCAAGCGUUAUCCGGAUUUAUUGGGUUUAAAGGGUGCGUAGGUGGACGAAUAAGUCAGUGGUGAAAGUUUUCAGCUCAACUGGAAAAUUGCCGUUGAAACUGUUUGUCUUGAGUGCAAGCGAGGUAAGCGGAAUGUGUUGUGUAGCGGUGAAAUGCUUAGAUAUGACACAGAACUCCGAUUGCGAAGGCAGCUUACUAGUAUGCAACUGACACUGAUGCACGAAAGCGUGGGUAUCAAACAGGAUUAGAUACCCUGGUAGUCCACGCAGUAAGCGAUGAUUACUCGCUGUUUGCGAUAUACAGUAAGCGGCCAAGCGAAAGCGUUAAGUAAUCCACCUGGGGAGUACGUUCGCAAGAAUGAAACUCAAAGGAAUUGACGGGGGCCCGCACAAGCGGAGGAACAUGUGGUUUAAUUCGAUGAUACGCGAGGAACCUUACCCGGGCUUGAAAUGUACUUGAUCGGACAAGAGAUUGUCUUUCCAGCAAUGGCAAGUAUGUAGGUGCUGCAUGGUUGUCGUCAGCUCGUGCCGUGAGGUGUCGGCUUAAGUGCCAUAACGAGCGCAACCCUUGCCGGUAGUUGCUAACAAUUAAAGUUGAGGACUCUACCGGGACUGCCAUCGUAAGAUGUGAGGAAGGUGGGGAUGACGUCAAAUCAGCACGGCCCUUACGUCCGGGGCGACACACGUGUUACAAUGGGUGGUACAAUGGGUUGCUACUGGGUGACCAGAUGCUAAUCUCUCAAAUCCACUCUCAGUUCGGAUCGAAGUCUGCAACUCGACUUCGUGAAGCUGGAUUCGCUAGUAAUCGCGCAUCAGCCAUGGCGCGGUGAAUACGUUCCCGGGCCU